This is a long non-coding RNA of Cercocebus atys (sooty mangabey), 4997 nucleotides long. RefSeq lists it as uncharacterized. Lineage: Eukaryota; Metazoa; Chordata; Mammalia; Primates; Cercopithecidae. The record is from RefSeq and is a predicted model, not a curated record. The transcript has 5 exons.
UCCUGACCUCAGGUGAUCCACGUGCCUCAGUCUCCCAUAGUGCUGGGAUUACAGGCAUGAGCCACCCCACCUGGCAAGAAUAUCGUAGCUUUGAGUAAGGGCACAAGGGGCGCUGCUCUGUGGAUGUCACAGGACUUGACAUUCAGUCUUUUUCUCAGAGUCAUUUUUGGCACUAUUUUUGGCUCUCUAGUAGUCUCUACCAUAAUUCAGUUUAUUGGUGCUUUAAAAAACGAACAGACCAACCAUCCAAUGCUGGCAAGGAUAGGAAGGAACACUCAUUUAUUGCUGGUGGGGACUCAAAAUGGUACAGACACUUUGGAAGACAAUUUGGAAAUUUCUUACAAAACUAAACAUGUUCUUAUCAUAUGAUCCAGACAUCCUGUUCCUUGGUAUCUACACAAAGGAGUUGAAAACUUCAUAUCCACACAAAAGUCUGCACAUGGAUAGCAGCUUUAUGCAUAAUUGCCAAAAGUUGGAAGCAAUCAAGAUGUCCUUCAGGAGGCGUAUGGAUAAAUAAACUGGUCCAUCCGGACAAUAGAGUAUUAUUUAGCAUUAAAAGCAAAUGAGCUCUCAAGCCAUGAAAAGACAUGGAGGAAAUCUAAAUGCCUCCAUGGAAAAAAGCCAGUCUGGAAAGGCCACACACUGUUUGAGUCUGACUACAUGAUAUUCUGGAAAAGGUAAACACUACGGAGACAAUGAAAAGAUCAGGGUUGGGGGAGGGAGUGAUGAAUGAGUGGAGCACAGAGGAUUUUUUGGGCAGGGAAAUUACUUUGCUCAGAUGAUACUAUAGUGGUUAGAACAUGUCAUUAAACAUCUAUCCAAACCCACAGAAUGUUCAGCACCAAGAGCACCAAGAGUGAACCCUAAUGCAGGCUGCGGACUCAGAGAUGAUGACGUAGGUUCAUCAAUUGUCACAAAGGAACCACUCUGCUGGGGACUAUCGAUAGGGAGGCUGUGCACUUGUAGGGUAGGUAGGAGGUACAUGAGAAAUCUCUGUUCCUUCCUCUCAACUUUGCUGUGAACCUAAAACUGCUCUAAAGCCUGUUUUUUAAAACAUGAAGGGACCAGAGAACGUCUUGCUCACGGGUGCCCAGGGCUGCGCUCACUGGCUCGAGUGCAAUGCACCAGUUGUUUUUUACUGGGUUGUCAGUUACUCAAGAGUAUUCAUUGCUUUCUGCACUUUGUUUCCGCAAUGCCACUACAUAAACAGCAGUGCAGGUACUAAAGGUUUAACAAACUCUUGUUGAAAUAAAAUGAAGAUAAAAUACACUUGAUGCUUCUCAUAAUAAAUACGUAUUUUCACCUACUUAAACAGUAUCAUAGCCUUGAUGUCGACAGAAAACUAUUACCAAUGGGGUUUCUGGAGGCUCUGGAGCCUGGGAUAGCCUCAGACUUGCACAGGGCAUGGUGCUAGGAGGCCAGGCUCAGGGCUAGAAGAGAAGCUGAGUUCUGUAAAAGCCUAACUCCCUCAGGAACUUGAUCCAGGAAGAGGCUUUUUGCUCUGUGUGCUCUAAGGGUCAGCCUUUGGCCACCACUGCCUGGCUUUACAACACAGUGCACAGAGCAGAGCUGGCUCUGCUGGACAAAGUCCUUUACCCUCUGAGAGCCUCAGUUUCCUCAUCUAUAAAAAGGGAAUGAGGAUAUUGCAGAUUACUCUGGGCACUGCAUGAGAUCAUGUCUAUAAAUAAAGGGCUUGGCAGAGUGAGUGGCUAAUAUGAGUGUCAAUGAAUGGAAAUUGUUUAUUCUCAACAUCAAAUAUUAGGAGAUAUUUCAUGAUCAUAAUAAAGUGUUGGAGAUGGAAUUAGGGUGUGAACUCCUCCUAUCUCACCCCACCUUCUCUCUAUCCCACUUGCUGUUGGCACAUAUUAAGAUGGCGAAUUUAUUGACUUUCACAACCUGUCUUCCUUCUUUCCCUCUUUCUUCAUUCUACCUCUUUCUCCCCCUUCUUUAUUUUCCUUUACCUCUCUCUCUUUUUCUUUAACUGCCUCCUUUUCUUUUAUUAUCUUAAAAAUGAGUUUAUUUUGUCUCCUUGCUAUUUCUGGCCAACUAACUAAGGGUCUUGUAUGGAGAUCUUUUUGCCAAGGCCAUAUUAAGCUCACCAGGUUGCUAAACUUAGACUAGCCUGUUUCUGCUCUCCCUUGGAAGGUCUGCAAUACCAUAAACAAGAAAGGUAUGAGGUCAAAGGAUUCUUGUUCUGAGCAAAGGGGACAGUUUCACACAGAGCUUCCCAGAAUGAAGGCAGGGCCUGACAGGAACGAGGUGGGAGGCCUCUGGCAUAAUCUAAACAGAGCAGUUAUUACCUUCCUCCCUGCCAAGUCAAUGCCACUGCCCAUCUCGGAAGCCAUUUUUCAAAUUGCUUUUUGGCCAGCUCAGCACAAAACCUACAUGACAGCUUUACUUUGGGAGAGCAACAGAAAAAGGCAGUCUCCUGCAGGAUCAGGCCCUUUUGUUGGUCCCUCUAAUUCUCUCCAAAGCACCAUGUGGAAUUUUUGUCAUGACUUGUGCCCAAAUAGGACGAAGACUCAGGGAAGAUAUAAGCACUCAGUGGCCCAUGUAAUGGCGCAAAUGAAUGAGGUGUUAUAAGGUAGAAACUGCAGUAGGAAGAGGCCUGGGAUGGAAUUCUAGUUCUGCCACUUGCUCACGGGGGGCAGGUGAGUUAGCCUCUGUUUCGUAAACUGGGGGGAAGUUGUAAGGUGAUGUUUGUAAAGCACCUGUCAGGUACCUAGGGCAGAGCAGGUGCUGAAUGAUCCUAACCAGGCUGGUUUCUUAGUCUCCUUUUUCUCAUGUAUAAAAGGGAGAAAGACAACAAUGCCCCUUUUGCAGAGUUCUUUGGGAAAUUAAAUGAUCUCUCUAGCAAAUGGUGAGUACCACAUGUGUGUGCCUCUCCUCCUCCCUUCUCCUGGAAAACCUCCAAGUUGCAGACUGUAUUUUCCAAAGAUGAACACAAUCAUAUCUCCUAUCCCACAUUCUCUUCUAGAAUCCUACCACUCCCCCAUCAAAUGGUGGAAUCUUAAUUCCUCUCUCUGAAUCUGAGUAGGCUUGGAAAUUGCUUACACACCAUAUGGUAGAAGUAAUUCUGUGGGACUGCAGAGAUGCCAUCAUAAAAGGCAAUGUAGCUUCUCUCAAAUUAGUUGGGAUCCUUGCUAUUGAAGCCUUCAGAUGACACGUAAGCAGUUAACUGCUUUGAGGCUGCCAUGCUAUAAGGAAGCCCAACUUAGCCUGCGUGGAGAGACCAGAGAGUUCCCAGAUGCUCCAGCCCCACCCUUCAACAGUUGCUGCCUGAACUGCAACCUCAUGAGAGACUGAAACAAAAACUAUUCAGGUCUACUGCAAUAAUCUAACUGGUUUCCCAUUUGCAAAUUGCUCAUAUCUGGGAGCUUUGUUUUUCACACUGCCACCAGAAUUGGCUUCCUAAAACCAGUGCAAGCCUUCAGCAUUACAAACAUCAGAUUGCACAUACCUUUGCUUGUAUGCUUGCUUCUGGCUGCGAAUCCGCCCUGGGCUCUGACUAUGCUGUAUUCCUGACUCAUGCUGCUUCGAGGCUCGCCUGUCCUGACGUACGCCCAUAAUUCACAACUCUGCAGCUUCCCAGAACCCCAAUGCUACACUUCAAGGACAUUUGGCUCCUACUCACUGAAGGUAGGAGCAGAUUCAAGAGGAGAGACAGGAAGUGGCAAGUGAGAGGUAGUGACAUCCGGUCACGAACUCUCCCUGCCGAAAAAAGGUCUUAGAGCAAUGUGCUGUGUGAUGAGACCCCUCCACCUCUUCUUUUCUUACAAUCAGCCUGACACUACUAUGGUUUUCUGCUUGCUUCUCUUCACAGCUGCGACUUGUAAGAAAGACCCUUCAUCAUUUUACAGAGGUGAUUUGUGCCAUAACAAACGGCUAUAAAGAGCGCCACAACUGCAGUGGGCCAAGCACCAGAUGUGACACGGAAUAUGUGAUAUGAUGCUGAUACAGCUGGCCUGAGAUCAUACUCUUGGAACCACCAGUCUAUGGAGGAAGAGAUGCUGAGAGUGGAAGACUCUUAUUACCUGAGUGAAAUCUGAAUGCCAAGAUGUGUGCGUGUGGACAUCCAAAGGUUCCCUGCCCCAGCUGCACACCCAGAAUAUGCAGUCCCUGGGUCACCUCGCUGUCCUGGCCUGGCAUCACAUUGCUGAAGCCGUCUUUAUGCAGACAAGACAGACUCCGGGACUUGAGCUCCAACUCCCUUGUGAACUGCCCAUCAACCUGGGCUCACCUGCAUUACAGAGGGUCAGUUCCUGCUGCUGAGUGACUGCUGAUCAGCUCUGGUGUGGACAGCCCAGCCAAAUUCUCCAUCAUCCAGUGGACUGCAAGAACACUUUCUCCAGUGGACCUGAACCUCGGUCCUUACGAGGGAACCCAGUUCCAAAUUUGUCCUUACUUGCGGACUUUUUCUUAGCUCUAGACUGCCCUUGAGAGUCCUCGUUAUAGUUACUCCACUGUCAUAGUUUAAUGAUUUUUUAAAUAUUGUUCCUUUUUUUUUUCAAUUGGCCGUGUGAUUUCUGUCUCCUAAUUGCUCCCCCUGAGAGAGGAACUGAGUGGAUGGUGGUCCUUACUGAGACAGAGAAGGAGGAACACCUUUUGGUGGUAAAGAUAAUGAAUUCAUAUUUGCAAUUGCUACAUUUAAGGUUUGUGUGGGACCUCCAGGCGGAGAAAUCAAAUAAGUGAUUAGGGCAAGAAUGUAGAACUCAGGUUAGUGAUACAGAUGUCUUGAGCACAUCUGUAGUAGUUGAAGUGAAUUGCCCCAGAAAGGACAUAUAGAGUUUCAGAGCUAAGCAAGGUCAAGAACAGAAUCCUUAGGAUUCCCCAAGUUUAAGGACUAGGUAGAGUGAAGGAGUGAGCAAAAGAGAUGAGAAGGAGCAGUCUCAGAGGUAGGAGGAGACCUAGCAGAGCUGGAAGAAUAAGUUAUCUCAGUCAGGCGCGGUAGCUCACACCUGUAAUCCCAGCACUUUGGGAGGCCGAGGCAGGCAAAU